Molecule: ribosomal RNA, 484 nt
Filed under: uncultured bacterium
Lineage: Bacteria
Description: partial 16S ribosomal RNA
Rfam family: Bacterial small subunit ribosomal RNA
Source: RNAcentral
AUUGAACGCUGGCGGCAGGCCUAACACAUGCAAGUCGAGCGGAUGAAGGGAGCUUGCUCCUGGAUCCAGCGGCGGACGGGUGAGUAAUGCCUAGGAAUCUGCCUGGUAGUGGGGGAUAACGUCCGGAAACGGGCGCUAAUACCGCAUACGUCCUGAGGGAGAAAGUGGGGGAUCUUCGGACCUCACGCUAUCAGAUGAGCCUAGGUCGGAUUAGCUAGUUGGUGGGGUAAAGGCCUACCAAGGCGACGAUCCGUAACUGGUCUGAGAGGAUGAUCAGUCACACUGGAACUGAGACACGGUCCGGACUCCUACGGGAGGCAGCAGUGGGGAAUGUUGGACAAUGGGCGAAAGCCUGAUCCAGCCAUGCCGCGUGUGUGAAGAAGGUCUUCGGAUUGUAAAGCACUUUAAGUUGGGAGGAAGGGCAGUAAGUUAAUACCUUGCUGUUUUGACGUUACCAACAGAAUAAGCACCGGCUAACUUCGUG